Molecule: ribosomal RNA, 376 nt
Filed under: uncultured bacterium
Lineage: Bacteria
Description: bacterial SSU rRNA
Rfam family: Bacterial small subunit ribosomal RNA
Source: RNAcentral
GAUGAACGCUGGCGGCGUGCCUAACACAUGCAAGUCGUACGAGCUCGAUCUUCGGAACGGGUUAGUGGCGCACGGGUGAGUAACACGUAGGUGACCUACCCCAGAGUGGGGGAUAACUUCUCGAAAGAGAGGCUAAUACCGCAUACACUCGGUCAUUCAUUUGGCCGAGCAAAGCUCCGGCGCUUUGGGACGGGCCUGCGUCCGAUUAGCUAGUUGGUAGGGUAAUGGCUUACCAAGGCUUUGAUCGGUAGCUGGUCUGAGAGGACGAUCAGCCACACUGGCACUGACACACGGGCCAGACUCCUACGGGAGGCAGCAGUGAGGAAUAUUGGGGCAAUGGGCGAAAGCCUGACCCAGCAACGCCGCGUGAGGGGAU